Molecule: long non-coding RNA, 674 nt
Filed under: Ananas comosus (pineapple)
Lineage: Eukaryota; Viridiplantae; Streptophyta; Magnoliopsida; Poales; Bromeliaceae
Description: long non-coding RNA (ACOM_LNC025815)
Source: RNAcentral
GAACUCGAGCGAGCCUAAUUUCGAGUCGAGCGAGCUCGAGCCUUAAACGAGCCGCUUAAAAUUCUCAACAUCAUACGAUCAAUAGUUUAAUUUGUAUAGAAUAUUAUCUAUAAUUUGAUACAAAAAUAUGUCUAAUAGUUCAAAAUACAAAAUAAUUCUAUGAAAUAUAGUAUUAUAAUAUGAAGGAAAAUAAUUUAUGAGUUGAAUACUUAAUCUUUUCAGGCUCACAUGUCUUCUCUUCCGCCUUCAAUCUCUAUAUUAUUUAUUUUUAUUUAUGCAGUCAAAAAUAAAUAAAUUAUAUAGAUAAAUAUUGGAUUAAACUAUCCAAUCAUAUAUAACUAGAAUUAAAAUUUUUUAUAAAUAAUAACUUUUUACUUUAAAAAUAUUCUGCAUAUUUUCUCAAGCAUACAAUUAAUAGUAAGGUAGCCAACGGCGGGCAUAUACUGUUAUUUGGUAACUUGGAGGGCUUCCGACUUGGCUACGUAGGGUGAGAGACAGAAAAAAAGAAAGAGAGAAACAUAUUGAAAUUUAGAGCUCUGUGAAAGAAAGAAAGAAAGGAAAAAUAUAUAAAUUUAAUGAAAUUUUGUUCUUUUAUUUGUCUAUUGGGUUUGUUUUUAUGGGCCAACAACAUUGGCCCAAUUUUAACUAAACUCAGGUUAUUCACUCAGCCUAUA